AGUGAACGCUGGCGGUAGGCCUAACACAUGCAAGUCGAACGGCAGCACAGUAAGAGCUUGCUCUUACGGGUGGCGAGUGGCGGACGGGUGAGGAAUACAUCGGAAUCUACUUUUUCGUGGGGGAUAACGUAGGGAAACUUACGCUAAUACCGCAUACGACCUACGGUUGAAAGCAGGGGAUCUUCGGACCUUGCGCGAUUGAAUGAGCCGAUGUCGGAUUAGCUAGUUGGCGGGGUAAAGGCCCACCAAGGCGACGAUUCGUAGCUGGUCUGAGAGGAUGAUCAGCCACACUGGAACUGAGGCACGGUCCAGACUCCUACGGGAGGCAGCAGUGGGGAAUAUUGGACAAUGGGCGCAAGCCUGAUCCAGCCAUACCGCGUGGGUGAAGAAGGCCUUCGGGUUGUAAAGCCCUUUUGUUGGGGAAGAAAAGCAGCAGGUUAAUACCCCGCUGUUCUGACGGUACCCAAGGAAUAAGCACCGGCUAACUUCGUG
RNAcentral lists this ribosomal RNA (492 nucleotides) under uncultured bacterium. RNAcentral's name for it is "partial 16S ribosomal RNA". It matches the Rfam family "Bacterial small subunit ribosomal RNA", at positions 29 to 507 of the family's 1533-position model. The record is from RNAcentral.